GGACUUGUGGUGUAGUGGUUAUCACGUCUGCUUUACAAGUUGUUACUAUUAUCGCAGCAGGUCCCCGGUUCGACCCCGGGCAGGUUCA
Molecule: non-coding RNA, 88 nt
Organism: Calycina marina
Lineage: Eukaryota; Fungi; Ascomycota; Leotiomycetes; Helotiales; Pezizellaceae
Source: the annotation of a GenBank genome assembly